Molecule: transfer RNA, 72 nt
Filed under: Pangasianodon hypophthalmus (striped catfish)
Lineage: Eukaryota; Metazoa; Chordata; Actinopteri; Siluriformes; Pangasiidae
Description: tRNA-Leu
Source: RNAcentral
UCCAUGGAGGACUAGUGGUUAGUCCUUGGCGCGCUAACCGCCACGGUCUGGGUUCGAUUCCCAGCCAGGGAG